RNAcentral lists this ribosomal RNA (253 nucleotides) under uncultured bacterium. RNAcentral's name for it is "partial 16S ribosomal RNA". It matches the Rfam family "Bacterial small subunit ribosomal RNA", at positions 524 to 776 of the family's 1533-position model. The record is from RNAcentral.
UACAGAGGGUGCGAGCGUUAAUCGGAAUUACUGGGCGUAGAGGGCGCGUAGGCGGUCUAUCAAGUGAGAUGUGAAAUCCCCGGGCUUAACCUGGGAACUGCAUCUUAAACUGUUAGGCUGGAGUACUGUAGAGGAUAGUGGAAUUUCCGGUGUAGCGGUGAAAUGCGUAGAGAUCGGAAGGAACAUCAGUGGCGAAGGCGACUGUCUGGACAGAUACUGACGCUGAGGCGCGAAAGCGUGGGGAGCAAACAGG